Molecule: ribosomal RNA, 492 nt
Filed under: uncultured bacterium
Lineage: Bacteria
Description: partial 16S ribosomal RNA
Rfam family: Bacterial small subunit ribosomal RNA
Source: RNAcentral
GACGAACGCUGGCGGCGUGCCUAAUGCAUGCAAGUCGAACGAGACCCCCAAGGCGGGUAACCGCCUAGGGGGAUCUAGUGGCGAACGGGUGAGUAACACGUGAGGCACCUGCCCCGGAGUCCGGGAUAGCCCAGGGAAACGUGGAUGAAUACCGGAUACCCUCGAUUGGUCACAUGUCCGGCCGAGGAAAAGUCCGCUGCUCCGGGAUGGCCACACGGCCUAACAGCUAGUUGGCGGGGUAACGGCCCACCAAGGCGACGACGGGUAGCUGGUCUGAGAGGCCUAUCAGCCACACUGGGACUGAGACACUGCCCAGACUCCCACGGGAGGCAGCAGCAGGAGAUAGUGCACAAUGGGCGAAAGCCUGAUGCAGCGACGCCGCGUUAGGGAUGAAGGCCUCCGGGUUGUAAACCUCUUUCAGGAGGGACGAAGCGAAAGUGACGGUACCUCCAGAAGAAGCCCCGGCCAACUACGUGCCAGCAGCCGCCGUAA